UGAUCCUCCGCCCAGUACAGGCACAGCAGGGCAUCCAGAGAAGAUAGGAGUCCCAAGUUGACACCUGCCACAUUCUUGGCUCAGAACAGCUGUGGCUGGGAAGGUCCAUGGGCCAGGGAGCGGGUGAUGAAGGACUUCAGCAUCUUUAUCAGCGCCCCCCCACACAGACGGCAGCUGCGGCCUAGCCCCCAGGCUUCACUUGGCGUGGACAACUUGCUAAGUAAAGUGGGGGGUGGGCCACGGCUGGCUCCUACCUGGACAGGCCUCCAGCUAACUCCGGGCUUGCACAGCAAAUACAAGAAAAAAAGAAACAGAAAAAUCAGUUCAUGUGCCCUUUCCUGACUUCUCCUGGCACCUACAGCCCUGACUGCAGAGAUGGUCCCGUGGUCCCAAGACAGAGGCUGGAGAAGUGAGUGGAGCCAAGAGGCAGAAAGAUCUCAGUAAUUUGGAAAAAAUUCCCAACUGGGUGCAGCUGGCUACACCUUUUCUUCCCCAGCAUCCUAAAGAGGAAAUUUCAAGAAAGCCCUGUAUUCCAGCACAGGAAGCAGGAAUGUCUUAAGCCACACUGCGCUGUUUCUGCUGGAGACAUCUCCCUGCUCUCAAACCUUCCUUCACUGCAAUUGUCUCUAAGAUAAUAAAACCUGGCGAGCAUUUAUCAUGGGAUACAAUGGACACUGAUUUUAUGAAAUUGACUUCAGAGAAACCCUUGUGCUCACAGGCAUGCUGAGCUCAGAGAGGUCCUGCCACCUUCCCAGAUGAAGAACAUGAGUCUUAGAGAAGUCAAAGAAGUUGCCUAAGGUCACAUGAGCAGUGAGCAGAGGAGUUGCUUACCUUUGUUAGACUCCAAAUCCUGUGUGACUAUGAAACUCAUUAACUGAAACAACCCGGCACCUUUGGACCUGUGCAGGCAAAGGCAAGGGAGUUGACCAGGAGCACACAGCACAGACGAGAACAGUCCCAAAGCCUUUUGCUGUAUCCCAUCUGUGCAAACCACUCCCAAUAAACAAACAAACACA
This 1016-nucleotide long non-coding RNA is filed under the name Homo sapiens (human). Its description in RNAcentral is "HSALNT0340537". The stretch from base 167 to 250 matches the Rfam family "mir-3943 microRNA precursor family". The record is from RNAcentral. Lineage: Eukaryota; Metazoa; Chordata; Mammalia; Primates; Hominidae.